ACUCAAAUGAAUAGACGGGGGCCCGCACAAGCGGCGGAGCAUGCGGAUUAAUUCGAUGCAACGCGAAGAACCUUACCUGGGUUUGACAUACGCCGGAAAGCCUCAGAGAUGAGGCCCCUUUAUUGUCGGUGUACAGGUGGUGCAUGGCUGUCGUCAGCUCGUGUCGUGAGAUGUUGGGUUAAGUCCCGCAACGAGCGCAACCCUCGUCCUAUGUUGCCAGCACGUCCUUCGGGAUGGUGGGGACUCAUAGGAGACUGCCGGGGUCAACUCGGAGGAAGGUGGGGAUGACGUCAAGUCAUCAUGCCCCUUAUGUCCAGGGCUUCACGCAUGCUACAAUGGCCGGUACAAAGGGCUGCGAUCCCGUGAGGGGGAGCGAAUCCCAAAAAGCCGGUCUCAGUUCGGAUUGGGGUCUGCAACUCGACCCCAUGAAGUCGGAGUCGCUAGUAAUCGCAGAUCAGCAACGCUGCGGUGAAUACGUUCCCGGGCCUUGUACACACCGCCCGU
This 504-nucleotide ribosomal RNA is filed under the name uncultured bacterium. RNAcentral describes it as "partial 16S ribosomal RNA". It matches the Rfam family "Bacterial small subunit ribosomal RNA", at positions 899 to 1397 of the family's 1533-position model. The record is from RNAcentral.